GUCUGAGGGGCUUAUGGACCCAUAGUGGUUUCAGGGACUAUGGAAACCUCAGGUGUGUGCCGGGAUGUUGUGGUCUGCAGUGGUCUCAAGUAUGGGGAACGGAUGUUGGGGCCAUAUCAGACUCAGGGGUGUGCGUGGAGGGAUGUCAGGGCCCAUAAUUAAUUCAGAGGUGUGUGUGUGUGUUUGUUUGUGUGCACUGUCAGGGUCUGUAGUGCUCUCAGGUGUGGGGGGCGUUGGGACCCACAACCAGUGUGAGGGGACAGUGCUUGGGCCCAGUAAAAAGGCAGCUCAGAGUCCUCAGUCCUGUGCUGCAGGUGUUGGGGGAGCCCUGACAAGGACUGUGUGUCCUGUGGCAGGAAGAGGCCCCUCUACCCAAAAGGAGCAGCUGGGAUUUGCCAGCAAAGCCCCAAAGGAAAAGGAGCUGUAGCAGGGGUUGAGAGCUGUGCGUUAGGAAUUGCUCAGAGCAGAGGCAGGGUAAGGUGUGUUCAUGCUGGUUGUGCCACACUUGGUGGCCUCUGAACCUUAACGCUAUUUAGUUGUAGAGACUUAUUUGACAGGGGAGGUUAAUGACUUCAUUUUUCUAAAUAAAACUGAAGGAGCAGAGCUUUAUCUGCCAGUACCUCACGCAGCCUCAUUCUGCCACCUUGCUCCUGACAGCUGUUACCCUUCUUGGGCUUCUAGAACCAUCCUCAGAGAGCUGUGUGAAACCACAGGUACAGAAACCUGAGAGCCCUGAGUCCCAGAUGAGGGGUGUUGGUGUGUCCUGUGCUCAGAGGCCAAGGUACAACGCAGCUCUUCUCAAUGUAGUUGAGUAAUUUCGCACAGUGAGUUUCCUGUUUAUAAGCUGAGCUCCAGAACCCAUUUUUUCCCCCUCUUUCUUACGAGUGGAAAGAAGAGCAGAGUGAGCACGACUCAUCUGUCAGCAGCCCUGUGCUGAGCAAGCAGGAGGCAGAGAUCUCUCCCCAAACGGAGCGAGUACAAAGCACUGAGUGAGUUGUGAGGAGAACAGCUCUGAUGGAAGCAGGAGCCAAGAACAACAGCUCGACAGGGAACUUUACACUUUCCCUGACAGCUCCUUGGGGCGGAGACAGUUAAGUUUCUGCGUUUGUAAGGGAAACAUGGCAUUCCUUAAAGCUGAGCCUCCUCCCUCGGGUUCCCACUGAAUGCCUGAGAGAUGACAGCAGAGGGUGUCUCCAGCAGGCUCCUAUUAAACAGGAGGAACUAGCACGGAGGGAGCAGCAGCUUUGAGAUCCCGGUUUUGACCGCAGAAUGAGCUAAAGUUCUGCAGUUUGCAGGUUUUUUUACCCACUGGCUCCUGUUCAGGGGGUUCCUGUGCCCUCGUGUCGGUGCCUGCACCUGCCCGAUGUGCGAAGGGCUGUGUUGGGAGGGCACUCGGCUCCAAGCAGGACGUGCUGAGGCAGCAGUGAGGCAGGGCAGACGAUCCUGGGGAGGGCUGCUGUGGUUCAGGCACACUUAGAACUGGUUUGGUGUUCCCAGCAGCACAAACCCGGCUGGCAGGGGAGCCUGUGAGCCGAGUGUGUGGACAGAUGGAACAGAUACGGACAGGAAAUGGGGGAGAAAGGGGAAACACUGGUGUUUGUAAAGCUCCGAGGGGGCUCUGGUUAGUUCUUCUAGAGUCCUGCAGUCCCGUUUCUAUUUUUAGCAGAGUGUCUGGAUGGCUUUGGGGAGUGCUUUAGGAGCUCAAGGCAGGUGUGAGCGUGGGGAGAGCACAGAGCCGUGGGCACCAGGAGCUCAUGCGAUGUGGCAGCCGCCACCACGCCCUUUCCUGUUCACCCCGGGGCCGCGGGCAGCCGUGCCAGCCACGCUGCCUGAGCGGGGAGAAGGGAAAGGAGGGGUUUCCAACGUGCUGAUAACCCACAGCAUUCCUUGGGAAAGGAGGGCUGGUGAGCAGCUCUGGUGGGGUCUCUGCUCCGAGACAAAAACGCUCCCAGAAGUUCUGGGAGCUGCUCGGGGGGCGGUGUCGACUUUUGGCCGUGCCUCAGCCCCGUCCCCUGUUAGAGGCAAUAUUGACUUAAGGAAAGAGGCACGGAGCAUACUUGGCAUGGGUGUUCCGAGUUAAAAAUUGUCAGUCUGGGCAAACAGACCUUUGGGAUGAUCGGCAGGAAAGCCGAGUGGCUGCGCUGCAUUAUUGCUGCCCCUUAGAGAACACGGUGUGACCGACCUUGCUGCUGCUCUGGGCACUCGGCUCGGCGGGUUGGGAGAGGCGCUGCGGGUUUUGGAGCUCAGAGCUUCAGAUCAAACCCAUUUCCUUCCCCUCGGUGAGGUGUUUGUAGUGCCUCGGUGAGUCAAUAAGCUGUGCACGUGAGGAAUGCACCUCGCAGCUGAAGCAGUGCCCAGUCAGGAGAAUAACCAGUACCUGGCAGAUGUGAGGCACGUGUCCUACAAAAGCUGCUGUUCACUGGCACGAGGCACCUGAUUCACCCGGGUGAGAUCACAGGGCUCUCUGUGGCGGGGCUCUGCCAGGAGGAACACGGAAGUAAUUUCUCUAUUAAAAUAUAAUAAAAUUCGAAAGAGUA
This is a non-coding RNA of Agelaius phoeniceus (red-winged blackbird), 2537 nucleotides long. The record is from RefSeq and is a predicted model, not a curated record. NCBI's taxonomy places the organism in Eukaryota, Metazoa, Chordata, Aves, Passeriformes, Icteridae.